Molecule: ribosomal RNA, 228 nt
Filed under: uncultured bacterium
Lineage: Bacteria
Description: partial 16S ribosomal RNA
Rfam family: Bacterial small subunit ribosomal RNA
Source: RNAcentral
UGCGCAGGUGGGCUUGUAAGUCAGUGGUGAAAUACUGCCGCUUAACGGUAGAACUGCCAUUGAUACUGCAAGUCUUGAAUAUGGUUGAGGUAGGCGGAAUGUGUCGUGUAGCGGUGAAAUGCAUAGAUAUGACACAGAACGCCGAUUGCGAAGGCAGCUUACUAAGCCAUUAUUGACGCUGAGGCACGAAAGCGUGGGGAGCGAACAGGAUUAGAUACCCUGGUAGUC